This 109-nucleotide ribosomal RNA is filed under the name Castor canadensis (American beaver). Lineage: Eukaryota; Metazoa; Chordata; Mammalia; Rodentia; Castoridae. The record is from RNAcentral.
GUCUACAGCCAUACCACCCUGAACACUCCCAAUCUCAUUUGAUUGUGGAAGCUAAGCCGGGUCUGUCCUGGUUAGUGCCUGGAUGGAAGAAGAUUGUGUGGUGUGAAGA